RNAcentral lists this ribosomal RNA (620 nucleotides) under Ascomycota sp. morphotype no. 53. Its description in RNAcentral is "eukaryotic LSU rRNA". The stretch from base 125 to 278 matches the Rfam family "5.8S ribosomal RNA". The record is from RNAcentral. Lineage: Eukaryota; Fungi; Ascomycota.
UUUGCCUGCUAUCUCUUACCCAUGUCUUUUGAGUACCUUCGUUUCCUCGGCGGGUCCGCCCGCCGAUUGGACAAUUUAAACCAUUUGCAGUUGCAAUCAGCGUCUGAAAAAACUUAAUAGUUACAACUUUCAACAACGGAUCUCUUGGUUCUGGCAUCGAUGAAGAACGCAGCGAAAUGCGAUAAGUAGUGUGAAUUGCAGAAUUCAGUGAAUCAUCGAAUCUUUGAACGCACAUUGCGCCCCUUGGUAUUCCAUGGGGCAUGCCUGUUCGAGCGUCAUUUGUACCUUCAAGCUCUGCUUGGUGUUGGGUGUUUGUCUCGCCUCUGCGCGCAGACUCGCCUCAAAACAAUUGGCAGCCGGCGUAUUGAUUUCGGAGCGCAGUACAUCUCGCGCUUUGCACUCAUAACGACGACGUCCAAAAGUACAUUUUUACACUCUUGACCUCGGAUCAGGUAGGGAUACCCGCUGAACUUAAGCAUAUCAAUAAGCGGAGGAAAAGAAACCAACAGGGAUUGCCCUAGUAACGGCGAGUGAAGCGGCAACAGCUCAAAUUUGAAAUCUGGCGUCUUCGGCGUCCGAGUUGUAAUUUGCAGAGGGCGCUUUGGCAUUGGCAGCGGUCC